GCCCCCGUUGUCUAAUGGUUAUGACGUCAGACUUCUAUAACAUCAGCUUAUAUCUGGAGGUUGCGGGUUCGAAUCCCGCCGGGGGUU
Non-coding RNA from Pholiota molesta, 87 nucleotides. The record is from the annotation of a GenBank genome assembly. Lineage: Eukaryota; Fungi; Basidiomycota; Agaricomycetes; Agaricales; Strophariaceae.